GACGAACGCUGGCGGCGUGCCUAAUACAUGCAAGUUGAGCGCUGAAGGAUGGUACUUGUACCAACUGGAUGAGCAGCGAACGGGUGAGUAACGCGUGGGGAAUCUGCCUUUGAGCGGGGGACAACAUUUGGAAACGAAUGCUAAUACCGCAUAAAAACUUUAAACACAAGUUUUAAGUUUGAAAGAUGCAAUUGCAUCACUCAAAGAUGAUCCCGCGUUGUAUUAGCUAGUUGGUGAGGUAAAGGCUCACCAAGGCGAUGAUACAUAGCCGACCUGAGAGGGUGAUCGGCCACAUUGGGACUGAGACACGGCCCCAACUCCUACGGGAGGCAGCAGUAGGGAAUCUUCGGCAAUGGACGAAAGUCUGACCGAGCAACGCCGCGUGAGUGAAGAAGGUUUUCGGAUCGUAAAACUCUGUUGGUAGAGAAGAACGUUGGUGAGAGUGGAAAGCUCAUCAAGUGACGGUAACUACCCAGAAAGGGACGGCUAACUACGUG
Molecule: ribosomal RNA, 497 nt
Filed under: uncultured bacterium
Lineage: Bacteria
Description: partial 16S ribosomal RNA
Rfam family: Bacterial small subunit ribosomal RNA
Source: RNAcentral